GAACGAACGCUGGCAGCGUGGAUUAGGCAUGCAAGUCGAACGGGAACCGGUCUAUUCAAGUAGCAAUACGAGGAUAGAUCGGGGAGAGUGGCGGAAGGGUGAGGAACGCGUGGGCAACCUACCCUCAAGAUGGGGAUAACACUUCGAAAGGAGUGCUAAUACCGAAUGUGGUUUCCUUGCGCAUGCAGGGAGGACUGAAGACGGGGAUCCUUCGGGACCUGUCACUUGAGGAGGGGCCCGCGUCCCAUCAGCUAGUUGGUGAGGUAACGGCCCACCAAGGCUUACGGGUAGCUGGUCUGAGAGGAUGGUCAGCCACACUGGGACUGAGACACUGCCCAGACUCCUACGGGAGGCUGCAGUCGAGGAUCAUUUGCAAUGGGCGAAAGCCUGACAGUGCGACGCUGCGUGGAGGAUGAAGGCCUUCGGGUUGUAAACUCCUGUCAUUCGGGAACAAUAGCGGGGGGGUGAAUAAUCUCACCGUGUGAUGGUACCGGAAGAGGAAGCCACGGCUAACUCUGUGCCAGCAGCCGCGGUAAUACAGAGGUGGCGAGCGUUGUUCGGAUUUACUGGGCGUAAAGGGUGCGUAGGUGGUCUCGUGUGUCGGGUGUGAAAUCCCACUGCUCAACGGUGGAAUGGCGCUCGAAACUGCGAGGCUUGAGUGCAGGAUGGGAGAGCGGAAUUCUUGGUGUAGCGGUGAAAUGCGUUGAUAUCAGGAGGAACACCGGUGGUGUAAACGGCUUUCUGGACCGUAACUGACGCUGAGACACGAAAGCGUGGGUAGCAAACAGGAUUAGAUACCCUGGUAGUCCACGCCCUAAACGAUGCAUAUUUGGUGUGGGUCAUUCAGUUGAUCCGUGCCGGAGCUAACGCGUUAAAUAUGCCGCCUGGGGAGUACAGUCGCAAGGCUGAAACUCAAAGGAAUUGACGGGGGCCCGCACAAGCGGUGGAGCAUGUGGUUCAAUUCGACGCAACGCGAAGAACCUUACCUGGGCUCGAACGGCUGGUUAACGGCUUUGGAAACAGAGCUACUCCGCAAGGAGGUCCAGUCGAGGUGCUGCAUGGCUGUCGUCAGCUCGUGUCGUGAGAUGUUGGGUUAAGUCCCGCAACGAGCGCAACCCUCGUCCUGUGUUGCCAUGGGGUAAAACCCGGAACUCGCAGGAGACCGCCAGCGAUAAGUUGGAGGAAGGUGGGGAUGACGUCAAGUCCUCAUGGCCUUUAUGUCCAGGGCUACACACGUGCUACAAUGGCCGGUACAAUCCGUCGCUAACCUGCGAAGGGGAGCCAAUCGGAAAAAACCGGUCUCAGUUCGGAUUGCAGGCUGCAACUCGCCUGCAUGAAGCUGGAAUCGCUAGUAAUGGCAGAUCAGCACGCUGCCGUGAAUACGUUCCCGGGCC
This 1394-nucleotide ribosomal RNA is filed under the name uncultured soil bacterium. RNAcentral describes it as "bacterial SSU rRNA". It matches the Rfam family "Bacterial small subunit ribosomal RNA", at positions 27 to 1380 of the family's 1533-position model. The record is from RNAcentral.